Molecule: ribosomal RNA, 252 nt
Filed under: uncultured Pseudomonas sp.
Lineage: Bacteria; Pseudomonadati; Pseudomonadota; Gammaproteobacteria; Pseudomonadales; Pseudomonadaceae
Description: partial 16S ribosomal RNA
Rfam family: Bacterial small subunit ribosomal RNA
Source: RNAcentral
UGGGCACUCUAAGGAGACUGCCGGUGGACAAACCGGAGGAAGGUGGGGAUGACGUCAAGUCAUCAUGGCCCUUACGGCCUGGGCUACACACGUGCUACAAUGGUCGGUACAAAGGGUUGCCAAGCCGCGAGGUGGAGCUAAUCCCAUAAAACCGAUCGUAGUCCGGAUCGCAGUCUGCAACUCGACUGCGUGAAGUCGGAAUCGCUAGUAAUCGUGAAUCAGAAUGUCACGGUGAAUACGUUCCCGGGCCUU